UACGUAGGUGGCAAGCGUUGUCCGGAAUUAUUGGGCGUAAAGCGCGCGCAGGUGGUUUCUUAAGUCUGAUGUGAAAGCCCACGGCGUCAACCGUCGGAGGGUCGAUUGGUAAACUAGGGAGGACUUGAGUGCAGAAGAGGAUAGUGGAAUUCCAACGUGUAGCGGUGAAAUGCGUAGAGAUUUGGAGGAACACCAGUGGCGAAGGCGACUAUCUGGUCUGUAACUGACACUGAGGCGCGAAAGCGU
This 246-nucleotide ribosomal RNA is filed under the name uncultured bacterium. Its description in RNAcentral is "partial 16S ribosomal RNA". It matches the Rfam family "Bacterial small subunit ribosomal RNA", at positions 524 to 762 of the family's 1533-position model. The record is from RNAcentral.